This is a long non-coding RNA of Ixodes scapularis (black-legged tick), 207 nucleotides long. RefSeq lists it as uncharacterized. The transcript is spliced from 4 exons. The record is from RefSeq and is a predicted model, not a curated record. NCBI's taxonomy places the organism in Eukaryota, Metazoa, Arthropoda, Arachnida, Ixodida, Ixodidae.
GGACCUUGCCUUUAAGCAGGAUAAAAUCUCGACUACGUUGCAUUACGAAGACAUAGGGUUCUUCAGCGUGUACGUUUUCACUUCACUAAUGAUGGGAUACGGAACGUACAGGAUCAAUGCCUACUACCGACGUCUCUACAUCGAGGAGGGGAAAAUUACAACGAUUCUAACAACAGAGACGAAGUCGCUUAAAUAAACAUUUAUUUC